RNAcentral lists this ribosomal RNA (465 nucleotides) under uncultured bacterium. Its description in RNAcentral is "partial 16S ribosomal RNA". It matches the Rfam family "Bacterial small subunit ribosomal RNA", at positions 338 to 795 of the family's 1533-position model. The record is from RNAcentral.
CCUACGGGAGGCAGCAGUGGGGAAUAUUGCGCAAUGGGCGAAAGCCUGACGCAGCGACGCCGCGUGAGGGAUGAAGGUCUUCGGAUCGUAAACCUCUGUCAGCAGGGAAGAACGGUCACUGUGCUAAUCAGCAGUGAAUUGACGGUACCUGCAAAGGAAGCCACGGCUAACUACGUGCCAGCAGCCGCGGUAAUACGAAGGUGGCAAGCGUUAUCCGGAUUUACUGGGUGAAAAGGGCGUGUAGGCGGGACUGCAAGUCAGAUGUGAAACCCAUGGGCUCAACCCAUGGCCUGCAUUUGAAACUGUAGUUCUUGAGUGAUGGAGAGGCAGGCGGAAUUCCGUGUGUAGCGGUGAAAUGCGUAGAUAUACGGAGGAACACCAGUGGCGAAGGCGGCCUGCUGGACAUUAACUGACGCUGAGGCGCGAAAGCGUGGGGAGCAAACAGGAUUAGAUACCCCUGUAGUC